CGCCGAUCUGGACGUAGUACAGGGUAUGUACAUUAUCUGUAACCAUCUUGCUCAUAUUUUGUUUGAUAGUGGUACAUCGCAUUCAUUUGUUUCACCUAUUUUUUCAUCCAAAUUUAAUAUAUUACCUGAUAAACUUGAUUCAAUGUUAUUUGUAUCUACUGUUGGGAGUGCAACAUUACUAGGAGAAGUUAUCUACAAGGCUUGUGCCGUGGAAAUAGCAAAUAAGAAACUGAGUGUAGACCUGAUAGAAU
RNAcentral lists this long non-coding RNA (251 nucleotides) under Carica papaya (papaya). RNAcentral's name for it is "long non-coding RNA (CPAP_LNC016521)". The record is from RNAcentral. Lineage: Eukaryota; Viridiplantae; Streptophyta; Magnoliopsida; Brassicales; Caricaceae.